This is a long non-coding RNA of Arabidopsis thaliana (thale cress), 244 nucleotides long. RefSeq annotates it as other RNA. NCBI's taxonomy places the organism in Eukaryota, Viridiplantae, Streptophyta, Magnoliopsida, Brassicales, Brassicaceae. The record is from RefSeq. The transcript has a single exon.
GAAACUAAUCUCACCAAAUCCCAAGUAAUUAGUCUUACCAAAUGAAUAGUGUGAGAUUAGUCAAGCUUGCAAUUACUUGGAUACAACCACUCUGAGUCACAAUUUGUUGGAUUCUAUUGGGGCGGUGAAAGUUAGUGGGUUUUGCUUCAAGUCAUAAGUAAAGAAUAAAGUAUACUCGAAGAAUAUUUCUACAUUUGUGGUAGACCAAACGCGAAUCUAAUUGUGCAGCCAAGUCUUCUAUACU